UACGUAUGGUGCAAGCGUUAUCCGGAUUUACUGGGUGUAAAGGGUGCGCAGGCGGCACGGCAAGCCUGAUGUGAAAGCCCGCGGCCCAACCGCGGGACUGCAUUGGGAACUACCGGGCUGGAGUGCCGGAGAGGUAGGCGGAAUUCCUAGUGUAGCGGUGAAAUGCGUAGAUAUUAGGAGGAACACCAGUGGCGAAGGCGGCCUACUGGACGGUGACUGACGCUGAGGCUCGAAAGCGUGGGGAGCAAACAGG
RNAcentral lists this ribosomal RNA (253 nucleotides) under uncultured bacterium. Its description in RNAcentral is "partial 16S ribosomal RNA". It matches the Rfam family "Bacterial small subunit ribosomal RNA", at positions 524 to 776 of the family's 1533-position model. The record is from RNAcentral.